AGUCUUAGGGUAAAUAAUCUAAGGUUUAACCUGCCCAAUGUAUAUUAAGAUUAAUGGCCGCGGUACUUUGACCGUGCUAAGGUAGCAUAAUCAAUUGGCUUUUAAAUGGGGUCAGGAAUGAAUGGAUUUAACGUAGCUUAGCUGUCUCUAAGAUAAUUAAUCGAAGUUACUAUGCAGAUGAAAAAGUCUGUUUUAAGAAAAAAGACGAGAAGACCCUUAGAGUUUUUCUUAAAAUUAAAUAGAAAAUAUUUAUGACGGUUUAGUUGGGGCAACUUAGGAACAAAAGUAAUAAUUAAUUUAUUUAAUUAUUUGUUAACCUCCUAAAUUAAAUUAGACGGUUAUUUAAAGUUUAAAUAAACUACCUUAGGGAUAACAGCAUUAUGUAAAAAAUAAGUUUGUGACCUCGAUGUUGGACUGGGAAACUAAAAGGCUAGUCGUUUUUUAGGAAAGUUCUGUUCGAACUAAUAUUCCC
This 472-nucleotide ribosomal RNA is filed under the name Verconia alboannulata. Its description in RNAcentral is "Noumea alboannulata partial 16S ribosomal RNA". Lineage: Eukaryota; Metazoa; Mollusca; Gastropoda; Nudibranchia; Chromodorididae. The record is from RNAcentral.